RNAcentral lists this unclassified non-coding RNA (261 nucleotides) under Hevea brasiliensis (rubber tree). Lineage: Eukaryota; Viridiplantae; Streptophyta; Magnoliopsida; Malpighiales; Euphorbiaceae. The record is from RNAcentral.
CUAAAUAACAAAGAACAAAAAAGAAGUGCAGGAAGAAGGAAUGGUUUAAGUGGAAGCUUUCUUGGAAUGGUUUAAGGGGAGAAUUAAAAGGGGAGGCAGUGAUCAAAAAUGGAGGAAGGGGAGGCUAGCUAUGGGGUGAGGACUGGGUUACAUGAAGAGAAAGCUAUUUUAACCUUAGGGACAUAGCUGGGUUUUAGAUGGAACUCGUGUGAAGUUCAAUGAUUUUAGUUCAACAAAUUAAAGUUGAAUAACAAAAAUGAA